Pan troglodytes (chimpanzee) is the source of this 1910-nucleotide long non-coding RNA. RefSeq lists it as uncharacterized. NCBI's taxonomy places the organism in Eukaryota, Metazoa, Chordata, Mammalia, Primates, Hominidae. The record is from RefSeq and is a predicted model, not a curated record. The transcript is spliced from 3 exons.
AAUGCCACUAGCGACGACCAUUCUGUACUGAUGGCUUGCCCUAGGCCUGUGCUAAGCACUUUAUGUAAAUUUAAUUCUCGAGGCUCAGAGAGUGAUCUCACUCUGGAGUCUCAAAUGAUCCCAGGAGCAAGGAAGGCAAAUUCUACUCCCCCAUUUACAGCUUAGGUUCUAACCUGGCCAUUUGGAAACUAAGAACAACAGGCUGGUCAGACUCAAACAGAGCUCACAGGCCCGCACAUCCAGAAACAGCAACCACAGCCCUCCCACACUGGAGGCAGACACAGCUGGUGGAUUCCCUCCUUCCUGCAGAGCCUAGACACAGCCUCAGAAUCCUGCCCAACACACUCUGGCAGCCACUCAAGAGCCGCUGGCACAAGAGAGAACGCUUGUUCAACAUGCUUGUUUUUACACUUGGGGAGGAGGCUCUGUCCAGAUUCUGGGUUCUUAAAACUCCCAGAUGGGUGCUCUUGGCACUGCCUCCUCCACCCCCAUCUAGUCAGUGCUGCCUGAUCUCUGCCAAAUACAUCUGACCUCUGAGCUUCCCCAAGGUUCCAGUAUUCAGUCCCCGCCCUACCUAUUGGGCAGGGUGCAGUGGGGAGUGGGGAACAAUGGAGGGGCUCGAUGGCACAGAAAAAGGACAAGACACAAUUGAAAUUGGCUUGGCGUACAGCAGUAGAAAUUUAAGUUAGAUAUUAGGAGGAACUUCCCAGCAGUGAGAGCCAUUAGACUUUGGCUAGGAGGCUACAGUAUUCUCUCUCCCUGAAAGUUCAAAAAACAUUGAAAAGGCUGCUAUUGCCUGCCAGAGACAAUGUCUGAGCAGAGGGAAGGACUCACGGCUUCUGGGGUAAACACCAGGUCGCGUGUUGAACUAGGGGAACAGCAGCAGCAGGAUGAGCCUCACCUCGCACCAGGAGCCAGACGGAUGCCCUUGUGACCCCAUUGGCGUUGCUGGCCACACACUGGUACCUCCCGCCGUCUGUGGGGAUGAUGCCACUGAUCUCCAGGGACAGGUCAGCCAGCUGGGCAACUCGGCCCGUCGAGGCCGGCAGGACUCGCCAGUCCCGGACCCAUGUCAGGUUGUAGGGGGCCUCGCCUAGGACCCAGCAGGAUAGGAUGGCAGUCUCCCCUGGGGACACGGUCACGUUGGGAGCAGGGACCAGCUGCGGCGGGGGGUCUGCAGGGACAUGAGCACAGGAGGAACCAAGGAGCUGAGGCAAGGGAGGGGGUCAUCGUGCAAGCCCUGGUGCUGCCCAGAACCCCACCCUGAGGUGCAGGCCCACCCGAACCAGAUCAUUCAGGACAUGUCAGCUAGCAGCAUAGGGUGACCAGCAUCUGCUCACCAUCCGGCAUCACCCCCGUGGGAGGUCACUUCUCCCACCACCAUUAUACACCUGCCAGGGGCUGCACGGUACACGCCUGCUCUCCAAAAUACAGCCAGUGCAAUGUGCAACAAGCCGGACACCCAUCUUCAUGCCUCUGAGCUGAAGAUGCCACACUGAGGAAUAAAGCCUUGGAAGUCUCCAGCCAGAGGAAGAGAGUAAUGUGUUCAAAACGAUUCUCUGUACCAACAGCAGGGCUAUUUAUAGCAGCCAAAUAUGCCCCCAAGGAGGAAAGCGCUAAGCAAACUGCUAUCUGGAUAGCAAAAAGCCACAAGAAGUGGCAAGAUCAGAGACUGCUGAACAUAGAAAAAAACCUAAAAGGGAGUAAAUCAAAUGGCAGAAUGGAGGGAUUACAAGUUAUUUUGAUCUUCUCUUGGGUUGUUUAUAUUUUUCCAGCUUUCCUACAAAGAGCAUGUGUAGUUUCUGGCUGUCUAUGUAGAGUGGCUGAUCUUUCCACGCUUACGGGUUCCUUUUUUUCUCUACAAAGCAGCUUGCGUUCGUAAUUUUUCAAAUAAAGCCAAUUUCAUUUGG